GAGGGGUGAGGGGGAGGGGGAGGGAGUGGGGUGUGGGGCAGGAGGAGGUGGGAGGCGGCGGCGGGCGCGGCGCGGUUUUAGGACUGCGUCGGGCUACUAGGGCAGAGGGGGAGCCGGAGGCGGCGCAGGUGGCAGUGGCGCCAGCUACUCGUGCUGUUCCUGUUCCGGUCCGGGCUAAGGCUAAGGAGGCAGUGGCAGUGGCAGUGGCGCCGGCUACUCGGGCUGUUCCUGUUCCGGUGCCGGUUCCGGUUCGGGCUAAGGCCAAGGCUAAGGCUAAGGAGGCUCCGGUGGUCGCGCGGGGCAAGAGGGGGAGGGGAGGUCCUCCUCCACCUGGUCUUCCUACGCCUCGGCCGCCGGGGGCUCCGCUUACACCUGCUCUUCCUAAGCCUCGGCCGCCGGGGGCUCCGCCUCCACCUGCUCUUCCUACGCCUCAGCCGCCGGGGGCUCCGCCUCCACCUGCUCUUCCUACGCCUCAGCCGCCAGGGGCUCCUCCUUCACCUGCUCUUCCUACGCCUCAGUCUCCGGCGCCGCGGCCUAAUGUCCGGGUGCCGCCGCGGCGGCCGGAAAGAGCUCAGGAAGCGGCACAAGCAGUAGUUUCGGCACGACAAGGUCCAGUCGCGCGAGCAGCGGACGGAGUGCAAGGGGAAGGCCGACGACGUUACCACCAAGGAGAAGCACUGGCUGGGCGAGCCGAGCCGCGUCGCCCGCUCCCUAACCCGAGAGCCCCACCACCCCGUCCGGUGGCCGCGCCACCCGCGCACCGAGCCUCGCCCCCUGCCCCAAGGCGCGCACCACCGCUCCGACGACACCCCCCGCGAGACCCGGUACAUGCAGACGCACGAAGACACGCGCUACGAGCGGUACCGCAAGUGCCGUCCCCCCCAGGACCACCCCUUUCACCACCUCCUCGGGCAAGUCCACUGCCUCUUGGACUUAAAGCUAAUGUGGUUCGGCUCGGGACACCGCAAACACGGGCACCCCGCCGACCACGGCGGCGUUGUCGCCUACGUCGAGCUCCACAACGACUGCGACGGGCUCAGCCUAAUGUUGUCCUCCGAACCCCAAAAGGUCCACUCCCGUCUCGAAGAUAGACGUCUACCCUUUCACCAGUGACGAAGCUCGGUUGGUACGUACGAUUUCAAGUUCUCGCAGGUGUACGUAAAGUAUCUUUGGAAAAAGGUUCCACAAAGAGAAAACAGGCCGAUAAGUAGACUUAGAGUCCAAUAGUUUGAUUUUGACUGCCCGUAAUUCCUCCGAAAGUUCGGUUAUUGUCCUCAUUCCUAUCACGAGCUCGUUGCUCGGCUCAAACGGUGACCACGUCCGUAGGGUCUCUAGAUACUGCGCAGCUAUUUCGAGCUCCGGCUCGAGGGAGACGAGUUCUCUCAUGAGACCGUGACCUCUACCUGGUACAAACACACCUCGUCGUACCGCCAGAAACAGAAGCUUGACAACGAGCGGCAGCAAACAACAUCCGGGACAUAUAAAGGGUCCUCAACUGUACCACCCCACAUCGAGGAGUCCCAUUGAGUACAUUACAUGUGAACUUUUAUUUACAUGUUCCCCCACGGUGACAGUGUACUAUCUGACGAAUGAUUGGUACGACUACUACGAUGUAUACGGGGAAAAGAGGAGACAGCACCUCGAACGGUAAGAGACACUCAUCCGUUCAAUUCAGAACGAGAAGAGCAAAACAAAGACACC
RNAcentral lists this ribosomal RNA (1701 nucleotides) under Triticum aestivum (bread wheat). Its description in RNAcentral is "partial small subunit ribosomal RNA". The record is from RNAcentral. Lineage: Eukaryota; Viridiplantae; Streptophyta; Magnoliopsida; Poales; Poaceae.